Molecule: ribosomal RNA, 388 nt
Filed under: uncultured bacterium
Lineage: Bacteria
Description: bacterial SSU rRNA
Rfam family: Bacterial small subunit ribosomal RNA
Source: RNAcentral
AUUGAACGCUGGCGGCAUGCCUUACACAUGCAAGUCGAACGGCAGCGGGGACUUCGGUCCGCCGGCGAGUGGCGAACGGGUGAGUAAAGUAUCGGAACGUACCUUUCAGUGGGGGAUAACUGUCCGAAAGGACAGCUAAUACCGCAUAUUCUGUGAGCAGGAAAGCAGGGGAUCGCAAGACCUUGCGCUGAUUGAGCGGCCGAUAUCAGAUUAGCUAGUUGGUGAGGUAAAGGCUCACCAAGGCGACGAUCUGUAGCGGGUCUGAGAGGAUGAUCCGCCACACUGGAACUGAGACACGGUCCAGACUCCUACGGGAGGCAGCAGUGGGGAAUUUUGGACAAUGGGGGCAACCCUGAUCCAGCCAUGCCGCGUGAGUGAAGAAGGCCUC